Sander lucioperca (pikeperch) is the source of this 1287-nucleotide long non-coding RNA. RefSeq lists it as uncharacterized. The transcript is spliced from 3 exons. The record is from RefSeq and is a predicted model, not a curated record. NCBI's taxonomy places the organism in Eukaryota, Metazoa, Chordata, Actinopteri, Perciformes, Percidae.
GACGUUGUUUAUAUUUUCACACACGGAGCACAUAUGAAAGAGAAGGGAAAACUCGUCUGCCUUCACUGCCUUUACAACACAGGAGCAUGGAGGCCACACACAGCUCCCAGAUAUCCAGAGAUGAGAGUAAAUAAACCAGGGGAGCCAUCCCUGACACCAUGUGUGGCUACGUACAGUGCAGACUGAAUAAGGGUCGUUGGCCUAUUUGUAGUGGACGUGGCCUUGGGUGCAGCCAGCCAGUGGCAGUCUGAGGCCUCUUUGUAGGCCGCCGAACAUGCACCAAACCACAAAUUAUCAUUGGAGCAGGACAGGCCUCCUGCACCACAACCAGGCCCACCUCUAACUCCCCGAAAGCUUUGGAUUUAUGGCAUGAGUCCAAAUAAACAUGUCUGAACGUUGUGGCAGAGAGGAGCCGUGGUUGAGCAUGCAUCUGAGAGAAUCAGAUCUCACACCUGUAUUAGUGAUGUAGCCCGCUACCAGGUAAUACAAUCGCACACUUUCUUAAAUAAAUCUUAAAAUAUUAAUUCAUACAUGAAUCCAUGAUCUUCAGUAUCUCUCCUUGGCCCUGUGUCUCUUGUUUUCAGCUUUCCUUCCCUUUCACCACUUCCUGUUCUCACCGAGUCUUUGCUGAAUUCAGUCUACUUUUUUCAUGGUAAAUGAGGUGUGCAGUAAUGUAAACAUUGCUUAGAGAUGUUUACUUUUGUCUCUGUAUAAUUUCUGGUCAGUACAGUAGUCACACUUAUGCAGGUAGAGUGCUGAGUGGAAAUCUUUCCAGCGGUUCUUCGUCAUUUGUAACCAUCUACCAGGGUGGGAUUGCUCAUUAUAAUAUUCCCUGCCUGUUGGAGAAAUUAGGAGCAUUUCUGUUUUUACUAGUGGUUUUGCAAGUUUUGACUGAUUAUUAAUAACAGAGGGUACUCUGUUUAUUAAUUACUGUUCAUAUAUUUAUGCUCCACAGAGCAGUCAUUUUGGAUGUUCUUGUUAUGUAUUUAAAAAAAUAAAACAAUACUAUAAUAACAUUAUUUAUACAUCACAAUGCCUGACAAAAGAUAAAAAAUAAAGAAACUUAAGAGAGACAUUUGACAAUAAUACAAUUACCAGCUAUAAAUAGGUGAUAAAAAAGUCAAUUAGAGCAUCCUAGGUAAAAUCAAAUCAAAAAGUAUCCUUAUUUCACUAAUAAAGUCAAAUGUUUCUAUCAAGGUUGGAGAUUUUCAGUUAAAGCAGAAAUGUAGAGCUGUGUAAUAAUAGAAACACUAUGUUCUCGCUCACGAGAUAUCUCUUAAGCCCCUG